This 466-nucleotide ribosomal RNA is filed under the name uncultured bacterium. RNAcentral describes it as "bacterial SSU rRNA". It matches the Rfam family "Bacterial small subunit ribosomal RNA", at positions 36 to 518 of the family's 1533-position model. The record is from RNAcentral.
CUGGCGGCGUGCUUAACACAUGCAAGUCGAGCGAUGAAGCUUCUUCGGAAGUGGAUUAGCGGCGGACGGGUGAGUAACACGUGGGUAACCUGCCUCAUAGAGGGGAAUAGCCUUCCGAAAGGAAGAUUAAUACCGCAUAAGAUUGUAAUAUCGCAUGAUAUAGCAAUUAAAGGAGCAAUCCGCUAUGAGAUGGACCCGCGUCGCAUUAGCUAGUUGGUGAGGUAACGGCUCACCAAGGCGACGAUGCGUAGCCGACCUGAGAGGGUGAUCGGCCACAUUGGGACUGAGACACGGCCCAGACUCCUACGGGAGGCAGCAGUGGGGAAUAUUGCACAAUGGGGGAAACCCUGAUGCAGCCAACGCCGCGUGAGUGAUGACGGCCUUCGGGUUGUAAAGCUCUGUCUUCAGGGACGAUAAUGACGGUACCUGAGGAGGAAGCCACGGCUAACUACGUGCCAGCAGCAGC